This 253-nucleotide ribosomal RNA is filed under the name uncultured bacterium. RNAcentral describes it as "partial 16S ribosomal RNA". It matches the Rfam family "Bacterial small subunit ribosomal RNA", at positions 524 to 776 of the family's 1533-position model. The record is from RNAcentral.
UACGAAGGGAGCUAGCGUUGUUCGGAAUCACUGGGCGUAAAGCGCACGUAGGCGGAUGUGUCAGUCAGGGGUGAAAUCCCGGGGCUCAACCCCGGAACUGCCCUUGAAACUGCAGUGCUAGAAUCUUGGAGAGGCGAGUGGAAUUCCGAGUGUAGAGGUGAAAUUCGUAGAUAUUCGGAAGAACACCAGUGGCGAAGGCGACUCGCUGGACAAGUAUUGACGCUGAGGUGCGAAAGCGUGGGGAGCAAACAGG